ACUAUUUUGGCAGAUUAGUGCAAUAAAUUUAGAAUUUAUUUAUGUAACAUUAUAUUACAAAUAGUA
Molecule: transfer RNA, 66 nt
Filed under: Dacus armatus
Lineage: Eukaryota; Metazoa; Arthropoda; Insecta; Diptera; Tephritidae
Description: tRNA-Leu
Source: RNAcentral